This 446-nucleotide ribosomal RNA is filed under the name uncultured bacterium. RNAcentral's name for it is "bacterial SSU rRNA". It matches the Rfam family "Bacterial small subunit ribosomal RNA", at positions 355 to 825 of the family's 1533-position model. The record is from RNAcentral.
UGGGGAAUAUUGGACAAUGGGCGAAAGCCUGAUCCAGCAAUGCCGCGUGAGUGAUGAAGGCCUUAGGGUUGUAAAGCUCUUUUACCAGGGAUGAUAAUGACAGUACCUGGAGAAUAAGCUCCGGCUAACUCCGUGCCAGCAGCCGCGGUAAUACGGAGGGAGCUAGCGUUGUUCGGAAUUACUGGGCGUAAAGCGUACGUAGGCGGUGACUCAAGUCAGAGGUGAAAGCCUGGAGCUCAACUCCAGAACUGCCUUUGAAACUAGGUCGCUAGAAUCACGGAGAGGUGAGUGGAAUUCCGAGUGUAGAGGUGAAAUUCGUAGAUAUUGGGAAGAACACCAGUGGCGAAGGCGGCUAACUGGUCCGGUACUGACGCUGAGGUGCGAAAGCGUGGGGAGCAAACAGGAUUAGAUACCCGAGUAUCCCUGAGCGGGCUGGCAAGGCGCAU